Molecule: transfer RNA, 77 nt
Filed under: Myxococcota bacterium
Lineage: Bacteria; Pseudomonadati; Myxococcota
Description: tRNA-Ile
Rfam family: tRNA
About the family: Transfer RNA (tRNA) molecules are approximately 80 nucleotides in length. Their secondary structure includes four short double-helical elements and three loops (D, anti-codon, and T loops).
Source: RNAcentral
GGGCCUGUAGCUCAGACGGCUAGAGCACACGCCUGAUAAGCGUGGGGUCGGCAGUUCGAUUCUGCCCAGGCCCACCA